Molecule: long non-coding RNA, 1875 nt
Organism: Amphiprion ocellaris (clown anemonefish)
Lineage: Eukaryota; Metazoa; Chordata; Actinopteri; Pomacentridae
Exons: 3
Source: RefSeq, a predicted model, not a curated record
AUAGUUUUUGGCUCUUUUUUCAUUAUGAAAUCUUGUUGAGAGCUUCCAGUCUAUGAGAGCUAACUAGUUAGCCACUAGCAAAACGCUAAGGCGAGCUAGCAGCUUGACAACCAAAUACCAGACGAUUAAUAGUAGCUGUAGUAUAGUUGUACAAGCAGUAGUAGUAAUACUAAAAGUACAAGCAGCAGUAGUAGUAUAAACAGCUGUUAGAGUCGUAGAAGUAGUAUCAGCAUUUGUAAUAGUAUUACAAGUUGUAGUAGCAGUGCCAGUAUCAGCAGCAGUAGUGUGUACUACCACUACUACUAGUAGUAGUCACAUUACUAUUACUACCACCAAUACUACCAAUAGUAGUUAUAAAGCCUAACUCAUGUAUAUCCAGAUUACCAUCUAUGUUCUUCCUCCAAACCCAUUUUAUGAUUGGGAUUACAGGCAGUUCUUUAGGACUGCUCUCAAAUAAUUGAAAUGUUACUAAACAAGGUUAUACUUAUCAAAUUAAAUAGCUGUGGUCUCCAGUAUAUUGGCAAAUUCGGUUCUUUGUACUUAAUUUAUUAGCAUGAUUUCUUUUUAAUAUGUUGUGUACAGACUUAAUUACUUCUCUGUCUACUUUUCUUACUCCAUGUAGGUUUCCCAGAGACUAUGGGUUGAGGAGGAAGUGGAAGUUUGUCGGCUUAGACCUGGUGUCAUUCCAUCAGUGUUAAACUUCCCGGCUCAUCUUGGAAGAGUACGUGCCAGAAAGACCACGACCAAGCAGCCUUGAGAUCUUAGACAGCGUCUCCCUGAGGUCCCUCUCUAUCUCCCCACACAUCCACCAACCACUGGAACACAUCUCCAAAGUUCUGCUGGACCAGCUCAGCUUCCCCUCAGAAGAAGUGCUGCCACCUGCCAGAUGAAGGAGCCUUUUGAGAGGCAGCUGGCAUCGUGAUUGGACUGUACUUUGGUCUGUUCCAAUCCAGCUUCACCUCCAGAGACGGCAGGCGGGACGAGUCAACGGAGGCCUGGUGGACGAAGGCAUGCAGCUGAGUACAAUCCAGAAAACAACAGAGGAGGAGUGCAGGACCAGAACAACCAGAGUAGCAUGACCAAAGAACUACAGACUCUUCACAACCUGCUCAAACUCUUGGUACAGGACCUCACCACACGGGUCAAGAAGGUUUCCAUCUCAUUUCUACUCUGAAGCUCACCUUCUCCUGCUCAAACUGCUGACAAAUGUUUCUGCUGCUCUAAAGUCUGGUCUCCAGAACUUCCUAAAAACUCUCAAAGUCUCUUCUGCUGCAGGUUGCUUUGUAGAACUAUUCCAGAAAACCUCACUAAACCACAUGGAGGGGCCUCAAGAUAGUCGUCCAAAUGAAACCAUACCAAAACCAAACUAACACAACCCAAACACUAAAGUCUCCUGCAGCCUACCAGAGAACCUCUGAGAACAGAGAAUCAGGACAGGAACUCUUACCUUCUGGACAACCAACGCUGGUUCACAAACAAGAAUUCAGAAUGUGUCUGACCAAAAACCUCUGAAGACUCACUACAGCCAAGAUAAAGACACAGCUGCACCAAAUCUACUAAUCACUGCACACAUUAGCACCAUGUGCUAACUGUGGCUAAAGAACCACAUUUACCAAGACAACUAUCCAGUACAAAGCCCUAAAACACACCAAGAAACACAUUAAAGACGAUUUUACUGCUGGAAGCUGCAAGCCAACGCCUAAACAACAAACUAAAGCAAUGGAGCCAAACCCAGUUCAGUGGUGAACAGAAGCAGAGGAAAUGUUUGUCUGCAGCUAAAUAAAGCAGGAAGACACUGAGCUGCUCAGGUGUUCCUGAUAACACCAAGCUGCUCAGGUGUUCCUGAUAACACCAAUCAGCCACCUGGACAGCCAA